Molecule: non-coding RNA, 3279 nt
Organism: Elaeis guineensis (African oil palm)
Lineage: Eukaryota; Viridiplantae; Streptophyta; Magnoliopsida; Arecales; Arecaceae
Source: RefSeq, a predicted model, not a curated record
ACGUGCCGACUAUUGGUUUCUAGUACCCUAACCGGUUACCUCUACUUCCCUCCCACGAAGCACCACCACUCCUCUCUCCUCCCUCUCUCCCCCUCCCCUUUUCCCUCUCCACCACCGCUGUGUCGCGUUCGCCCACCGCUCUCUUCUCUGGGCGACGGUGCUUUCGCCUUCUUCCCCUUUUCCCUGUGAAUCUCUUUGGUUGGUUCGGCUACUAAAAGUAGGAUGGAGGAUAGUCAGUUAGUGGUCUCUCAAGCAUCCAACGUUGCAGAGUAUUCAUCCACAGGUCUUGUUCCUGCUGAGUACCCCAUGACCAAUUCAGGUGGUGAAGGCCUUGUUUCUUGUGAACCUACUGCAGCUACAGAUUAUGCUUUGUCAGGUUCUUCAAAUCCUCGCAAUGGGAAUAUGUACAACCAGGAGAACAAUUCUGUUGCACAGAAUGCUGGCAUGGCGUAUGAAUCUAAGACUGACGAUGGGACUGCUGUAGCUAGUGAAAUUGGCAUUGGUCAUGAAACCGUGGCAGAUAUUUCUUCUCAUACAACUGGUUAUGAUUCCAUGAAUGGAGGUGCUAGUGAAGGGGCCAGUUAUCAAUCUACAGGAGUUAUUGAGAAUGGAGGUUUUUCAAAUGAUGUGGGUAGUACUGUUCUUCAGCAACCAUAUGAAGAUGUGGUGUAUACUGCCGAGGAGGAAAGAUUAUGGAAUAUGGUAAGAGCAAAUUGUUUAGACUUCAAUUCUUGGACAGCCCUCAUUGAGGAAACCGAGAAGGCUGCAGAGAAUGACAUUAUAAAAAUUCGGAAAGUUUAUGAUGCAUUCUUGGCCGAGUUUCCGCUGUGUUAUGGCUACUGGAAAAAAUAUGCAGAUCAUGAGGGACGGCUGGACAGUGUUGACAAGGUUGUGGAGGUGUAUGAACGGGCUGUCCUAGCAGUGACUUAUUCUGUGGAAAUUUGGUUGCAGUACUGUCAAUUUGCAAUAUCAACAUAUGAAGAUCCAGAUGCUAUUCAAAGGCUGUUUGAACGUGGAUUGGCAUAUGUUGGAACGGAUUAUGGGUCACACAAUUUGUGGGAUGAGUACAUCAGAUAUGAAGAAUCACAACAAGCAUGGAGUCAUCUGGCCAUGAUUUAUACAAGAAUUCUGGAGCAUCCUAUACAACAACUGGAUCGUUAUUAUAAUUGUUUUAAGGAGUUGGCUGCUAGUCGAUCUUUAUCUGAAAUACAGACUCCUGAAGAAGCUGCUCUGGCAGCUGCCAAUGCCGAGACUGGUGGCCAAAGUCUUGAGGGCAAGGUUCAUCCUGAUGCUGUAGAGCAAUCUCCAAAACCCGUAAGUGCCGGUUUAACAGAAGCAGAGGAGUUGGAGAAGUAUAUUGCAAUUAGGGAAGAGAUGUAUAAGAAAGCUAAAGAAUACGAAUCUAAGAUCAUUGGUUUUGAAACAGCUAUUAGAAGGCCAUACUUCCAUGUCAGGCCUCUUGAUGAACCAGAGCUUGAAAACUGGCACAACUAUCUUGAUUUUAUUGAGAGAGGGGAUGACUUUAACAAGGUUCUUAAGUUGUAUGAAAGAUGUCUAAUUGCUUGUGCCAAUUAUCCGGAGUUCUGGAUCCGUUAUGUGUUAUGCAUGGAAGCAAGUGGAAGCAUGGAGCUUGCAAAUAAUGCUCUUGCUCGGGCUACUCAAGUGUUUGUGAAAAAACAACCAGAAAUUCACCUUUUUGCUGCUAGAUUUAAGGAACUAAGUGGAGAUGUUUUGGGGGCUCGUGUAGAAUAUCAGCUCCUGUAUUCUGAAAUUUCACCUGGUCUGUUGGAAGCCAUUGUUAAACAUGCAAACAUGGAAAAUCGACUGGGAGACAAACAUGCUGCGUUCUCUCUAUAUGAGAAGGCUAUCACUGCUGAACAGGAAAAGGAGCAGUCUCUAAUAUUGCCAAUGUUGCUUGCUCAGUAUUCACGUUUUGUACAUCUGGUUGCUGGUAAUGUAGAAAAGGCUAGGGAAAUUUUAGCUGGAUCUCUUGAGCAUAUUCAACUUUCAAAACCUCUUCUGGAGGCUGUCAUCCAUCUUGAGUCAAUCCAGCCAUCUGCAAAGCAUGUUGAUUAUUUGGAUUCACUGGUGGAGAAGUUCAUCAUGCCCAAUCCUGAUAAUUCUAACAUGGCUAGCACCACUGACAGAGAAGAGAUAUCUAGCAUUUUUUUGGAGUUUUUGGAUCUCUUUGGAGAUGCACAGUCAAUAAAAAGGGCUGAGAAUAGGCACACAGUGCUCUUUCUUCGUCAGAAAAGCAUGUUGAUUUCAAAAAAACGACAUGCUGAAGAUUUUCUUACCUCCGACAAGGCUAAAAUAUCAAAGACUUACCCAGAGCCAGGUCAGUCUAUUAUGGGAGCAUACCCAAAUGCACAGAGCCAGUGGUCUGCUGGUUAUGGACAAAAAGCGCCAGCUUGGCCUCAGACUUCCCAAUCACAAGGGCAGCAGUGGAAUCCAGGAUAUGCGCCACAGGCUGGGUAUACUGCAUAUGGAGGUUAUGCUAAUUAUGGCCAACCACAGAUGCCAACAUCAGCUCAGGGUGCUUCAUAUGGUGCAUAUCCUCCCACAUAUCCGGUCCAGGGUUAUCCACAACAAACGUAUGCCCAACCUGCACCAGCAGCAGCAGCGGCAGCAACGGUGUUUCCGCAGCAACCAGCACCUGCUCAACCAUAUUACGGCAGUUAUUAUUGAGUUGGUUUGUGUUUUCCAAAACAGCAGAUGUUGUUUGGUAUAGGUGUGCCUCUUUGCUUCUUUCUCUUUGUCAUCAUUAUCAUACCUUUUUCUUGAUAAUUAUUCAGGUUUGUUUAUUAUGAAGAAAACGAACAGUAAUCGGAUAAAAGUUUUUAAAUUUUUAUGCACGAAGGGAAAGCAGGGUGAGAAGGAUCUCUUUUCCAAGUCUCAAAACAUGAUUACCCAAUUUGGUGGCAGCCUGCCUUGAUCAUGCAGAAGGCGAUAAUGCUCAUUGUUCAGGGUGUUAGCCGGUACCACUUCAUGAGGACAUCAACAAUGUAUGAUCUGGAUUUCUACUGCUUUAUUUUUUUCUCUUUAAUCUGCUGAACUGGAUGGCCAUUUGCAGAGACAGGGCUCCUGGUUGAACACGUACAACCUGUUAAUUGUAGGAACCAACUCUAGUGGUAUCAUAUGAGCGCUCCAGCAAAAAUGAGCCCUCGUUUUUUAAUUGUUUAGGCAGUCAUGUAAACAUUAUCAUCAUAUUAAUGGUUGCCAGGCAAAUGAAAUUUUGUGCAGGAUAUUAUUAUAUAAACAUUGACCUAAACUUCAUUG